Molecule: unclassified non-coding RNA, 253 nt
Filed under: uncultured Chlamydiales bacterium
Lineage: Bacteria; Pseudomonadati; Chlamydiota; Chlamydiia; Chlamydiales
Description: contains 16S-23S intergenic spacer region
Rfam family: Bacterial small subunit ribosomal RNA
Source: RNAcentral
UACGGAGGGUGCAAGCAUUGAUCGGAAUUACUGGGCGUAAAGGGCGCGUAGGCGGCCGGAUAAGUCAGAUGUGAAAUUCCACAGCUCAACUGUGGAGCUGCAUUUGAAACUGUCCAGCUCGAGCAUAGUUAGGGAAAACGGAAUUCCACAUGUAGCGGUGAAAUGCGUAGAUAUGUGGAGGAACACCGGUGGUGAAGACGGUUUUCUGGGCUAUUGCUGACGCUGAGGCGCGAAAGCUAGGGGAGCAAACAGG